This 408-nucleotide ribosomal RNA is filed under the name bacterium. RNAcentral describes it as "partial 16S ribosomal RNA". It matches the Rfam family "Bacterial small subunit ribosomal RNA", at positions 355 to 776 of the family's 1533-position model. The record is from RNAcentral.
UGGGGAAUAUUGCACAAUGGCGAAAGCCUGAUGCAGCGACGCCGCGUGAGGGAUGACGGCCUUCGGGUUGUAAACCUCUUUCAGCAGGGACGAAGCGCAAGUGACGGUACCUGCAGAAGAAGCACCGGCUAACUACGUGCCAGCAGCCGCGGUAAUACGUAGGGUGCAAGCGUUGUCCGGAAUUACUGGGCGUAAAGAGUUCGUAGGCGGUUUGUCGCGUCGUUUGUGAAAACCAGCAGCUCAACUGCUGGCUUGCAGGCGAUACGGGCAGACUUGAGUACUGCAGGGGAGACUGGAAUUCUUGGUGUAGCGGUGAAAUGCGCAGAUAUCAGGAGGAACACCGGUGGCGAAGGCGGGUCUCUGGGCAGUAACUGACGCUGAGGAACGAAAGCGUGGGUAGCGAACAGG